RNAcentral lists this ribosomal RNA (305 nucleotides) under uncultured bacterium. RNAcentral's name for it is "bacterial SSU rRNA". It matches the Rfam family "Bacterial small subunit ribosomal RNA", at positions 335 to 656 of the family's 1533-position model. The record is from RNAcentral.
AGCACCUACGGGGCGCAGCAGUAGGGAAUCUUCCACAAUGGGCGCAAGCCUGAUGGAGCAACACCGCGUGAGUGAAGAAGGUUUUCGGAUUGUAAACUAUUGUCGUGAGGGAAGAAGAUGACAGUACCUCAGGAGGAAGCUCCGGCUAACUAUGUGCCAGCAGCCGCGGUAAUACAUAGGGAGCAAGCGUUAUCCGGAAUUAUUGGGUGUAAAGGGUGCGUAGACGGGAAAUUAAGUUAGUUGUGAAAUCCCUUGGCUUAACUGAGGAACUGCAACUAAAACUGAUUUUCUUGAGUACUGGAGAG